GACGGACGCUGGCGGCGUGCUUAACACAUGCAAGUCGAACGGAAAGGCCCUGCUUUUGUGGGGUGCUCGAGUGGCGAACGGGUGAGUAACACGUGAGUAACCUGCCCUUGACUUUGGGAUAACUUCAGGAAACUGGGGCUAAUACCGGAUAGGAGCUCCUGCUGCAUGGUGGGGGUUGGAAAGUUUCGGCGGUUGGGGAUGGACUCGCGGCUUAUCAGCUUGUUGGUGGGGUAGUGGCUUACCAAGGCUUUGACGGGUAGCCGGCCUGAGAGGGUGGACGGCCACAAUGGGACUAAGAGACGGCCCAGACUGCUACGGGAGGCAGCAGUGGGGAAUAUUGCACAAUGGGAGGAAGCCGGAUGAAGCAACGCCGCGGGCGGGAUGACGGCCUUCGGGUUGUAAACCGCUUUCGCCUGUGACGAAGCGGUAGUGACGGUAAUGGGUAAAGAAGCACCGGCUAACUACGUG
This 468-nucleotide ribosomal RNA is filed under the name uncultured bacterium. RNAcentral's name for it is "partial 16S ribosomal RNA". It matches the Rfam family "Bacterial small subunit ribosomal RNA", at positions 28 to 507 of the family's 1533-position model. The record is from RNAcentral.